GGAGCCUGGAGGGGUGGGAGGAAGGGGCAGUCAGAGGCCAGGUUCUGAGGUCUUGCCUCUUACUAGAAGCUCAGAUUCUCAGAGGCGGUGGAACAGCGGCAGGUGGCACAGCGGGGUGGCUUUGGAGGCUGGGCCCACCCUUCUCAGGGGUGAGACUGGGAUGCUGGAAGCUCUUCUGGGAGUCUCCCCGGAGUAACAAGGCACAGUGGGGGCUGGCUUCGAACUAGCUUAGGAAUGUUUCCAGACCAAAGGACCAAGUUAGUGACCUCCCCAACUUCAUAUUUACUGUGCUUCUGGUGGAGGGGCCUCCGGGAUUCUUGUUGUGCCUGGCAGUGACCCUCCCACCAUGACCCUGUGCCUGGGAGAGAGCCCCACUAUGGCCUGUGCCUGGGAGCAACUCUGGAACACUGAGGGAUCAGCUCUGCAGAAGCGGAAUCAUCCUCAGCCACAUUCUGCGAUUCUGGGAGCAUCAGGGGGGCCUUUUGUUGGGAAGGUUGUUUUGCUUUUGGUCCUUCCUGCCAUUGGCUACAAUGGCGACUCAUGAGUAAGCUGAGAACGGUUAAAAGAAACAAAGACUGGUCCAGUGGCUUUUGCACACCUCCACUCCCCCGACAGACAGUGUCUCUCAAAAGCUUUUCUAAGGACCGCUGAGCGCCCACAUCAGCAUUAGUGAGCAGACCGAGCCAAAAAUGCAGAUCUCAGUCCCAGCCUAGGCCUGGACCAGAAUCUCUAGGGAGAGGGUCUGUAAAUUCGCACUUGAACAGGUUUCCCGUGGCAUUCAGAUGUACAUUUAUGCAGGGAUCCUCAAACUUGCCGCUCAGCAGAACCACCUGGAGAGUUUCUAACAACCCGACACCAGGCUGGGCCUGUGCCAGUGACUGUCAGGGUGGAACCAGGCCUCGGGACUUUUGAAAUGCCCCAGGCGAUUCCCAGGUGCAGCCAAGGUUGAGAUCAGUGCUCUGCCUUCAGUGCUUCUCAAAUUUAUGUGCAUGCAGAUCACCUGCAGGUCCGGAUAAAAUGCAGACUCCUGCUCAGUAAGUCUGGGUGGGGCCCAAGAGUCAUUCCUGUUAUGGAGCUCCCAGGCCUGCUGCUUCUGGGGUUUGCAGACCCCACGUGGAGCAUCAGGGCCCUCACCGGCUGACCCACUGCUUCAGACAGCAAGCUGUUCAAAGACAACUCCAUGCUGGGAGCUGAUUAUGAUACCACAGGCUGUUUUCUUUGGAAGGAAGUCGCAAUGAGCAGCCCUCUCUUAAGGAAUAGAGGGGUAUACAGAGGAGAAAAUGAUAUGAUGACAGAGCAAAGAGAGAUUUGCAGAUGCUGGCCUCGAAGAUUAUAGAAAAGUGACCACAAGCCAAGGGUUACUGGCAGCCACCAAAAGCUGGAUCAGGCUGUCUUCUAGAGACUCUGGACAGAGGGUGGCCCUACGACACCUUGAUUCCAGCCCAGUGAUAUUGAUUGCGGACUUCUGGCUUCCAGAACUGUAAGAGAACACAUUUUUGUUUCUCCAAGCCACCCAGUUUGUAUAAUUUGUUGCAACAGCCACUGGAAACUAUUAAUCAUUUAUUUACAUUGAUAUGAACACAUGAAUAUUUUAUUUGUAUUAUGGGUUAUAAUCCAAUGUUACUUGUUUUAUUGCUUAAAUCAUUCAAGUUUUGGAUAUUGGGAUCUCUUCCAUUUGGCUUCUGGGCCUCUUUGGCGUACCCCGUUGUCUUAGUCCAUUCGAGACGCUAUAACAAAACUACUGUGGACUGGGCGACUUACACAGCAAGCAUUUCUUUCUGACAGUUCUGGAGGCUGGAAGUCCAAGACCAAGGUGUGGGCGGCUUUGGUGUCUGAUGAGGGUCUGCUUCCAAUGCAUCGAAGGUCGUUGUCUCACUGUAUCUUCACAUGAUGGAAAGAGCGUGAGACAACUCCCUGGGGUCUCUUUUAUAGGGCACCGAUCCCAUUUGUGACAGCUCCAUCCUUACGCCCUAAUCACUUCCCAAAACCUCUACCUCCUAAGACCAUCAAACUGAGGGUAGUAUUUCAAUAUGUGAAUUUUGGGGGGACACAAACAUUCAGUGUAUAACAUCCAUCAAUGUGGAUUUUGUUGAGCACUUCCUUCCUUUGGGGGACUGCAAGAUGCUUCAGGUUGAUCUCGUGCAUAUCCUCUUCCAUAGAAUCAUCCAUUUCUCCAAGGAGCCCUGGUUCCUUUUAAUGGUUUAUGAUAUUGGAAAUAAAGACUCAGGGGCUAGGUGUCCUUAUUGCUCCUAGAGUGUCAUUUCUUUUAGCCCCUCCAGCUGACAGAGCAAGGAAAAUAUGUAUGUGUAGUAACCUAUGUGUAUACACAUUUCCACUAAUACUUCUGUAUGUAAACGUAUGUAUCUAUAUUAGACUAAACAUGUGUUCUUACUGAUGUGAAACGCUGAUCCAUUACUUCACAAAUCAUUCUCCCUCCUCCCCUUCUUACCUGAAAAUUCCCUCUCUCACAGGGAGAAGCCAAGUUCCCACCUUUAUCAUUUGUUUGCUUAAUCAUUCAGUUCCGCUAUACAGGUGUAGCAUUAUCUGAACUGUUCAUGAGCAUCCUUGUGGGACACAACUCUAUCAAGUAGAGCACAGUGCUUAUGUGCAAGGUCUUUGCCUACAGUCUUACAGAAUCCAUUCGUUCCCAAAGUUGCUUAUGACAGCACAUCCACACCCGCCUUCAGUGAGGUUGUUUCCUAUAUUUGUAAUGCAAAUAGAUUCUCUUGUCACAGUCUGGAUUCCUUCCUAGGCUCUCUAAGACUUGUUUUUAAUUUGCACACAUUAAGGACCACUCUUUGUGCUCUAAAAUUCUAUGCUGCAAAUGCGUCUAUUAUAGUAUCAUGUGGAAUACUUUGACACCCUAAAAACCCCCUGUGUUUCAUUUAUUCAAUCUUCUCCCCUUCCCAAUACCCUAGCAACCACUGACUUUUUUUCUAUCUCUACAGUUUUGUCUUUUCCAGAACAUCAUAUAAUUGGGAUCAUACAGUAUGGAGUCUUUUCUUACUGACUUCUUUCACUUCGCAAUA
Equus caballus (horse) is the source of this 3029-nucleotide long non-coding RNA. The record is from Ensembl. NCBI's taxonomy places the organism in Eukaryota, Metazoa, Chordata, Mammalia, Perissodactyla, Equidae.